GCGGGAUAGCUCAGCUGGUUAGAGCACAUGAUUCAUAAUCAUGAGGUCCCGGGUUCAAGUCCCGGUCCC
Molecule: transfer RNA, 69 nt
Filed under: fish gut metagenome
Rfam family: tRNA
About the family: Transfer RNA (tRNA) molecules are approximately 80 nucleotides in length.
Source: RNAcentral